UACGAGGGGGCAAGCGUUGUUCGGAAUUAUUGGGCGUAAAGGGCGCGUAGGCGGUUUGACAAGUCUUAUGUGAAAUCUCUGGGCUCAACCCAGAGUCUGCAUGGGAAACUGUCGGGCUUGAGUAUGGGAGAGGUGAGUGGAAUUCCGGUGUAGCGGUGAAAUGCGUAGAUAUCGGAAGGAACACCUGUGGCGAAAGCGGCUCACUGGACCAUAACUGACGCUGAGGCGCGAAAGCUAGGGGAGCAAACAGG
This 251-nucleotide ribosomal RNA is filed under the name uncultured bacterium. Its description in RNAcentral is "partial 16S ribosomal RNA". It matches the Rfam family "Bacterial small subunit ribosomal RNA", at positions 524 to 776 of the family's 1533-position model. The record is from RNAcentral.